Molecule: long non-coding RNA, 611 nt
Organism: Rhincodon typus (whale shark)
Lineage: Eukaryota; Metazoa; Chordata; Chondrichthyes; Orectolobiformes; Rhincodontidae
Exons: 3
Source: RefSeq, a predicted model, not a curated record
AUGCUGCUUGGCCGGCUGUGUUCAUCCAGCUCUACACCUUGUUAUCUCAGAUUCUCCAGCAUCUGCAGUAUGUACUAUCUCUCCCCUAUUAGGAGAUAGCAGGUUCUCCUAUUAGCAGGUUGCUGCGUUUGAGUCUGGAAAUUAAAGAAAGAAGCCCCAGUCUACAGUGAAUGACACUUUCCCACCCAGUGGUUCUUGCUUCACUCCACACCCCCCGCCCUGUUCUCCCCAAAUCCAACUGAUAUCUAUCAGAGGAUGACGCAGAAGAACUUCUUCUCUCUGAAUGGGUUUUCAGAAGCUGGCAGUGGGGCGAUGAGUGGAUCAUCCCUAAGGAAACCUCUUCUCCAUACCUACUCUAUCAAAGAACUAAACUAAAGAAAACUGUGUCUGUCUUCAAUGAGCAAGUUAAAUUAAUCACCCUGGAAUACUGAAGAACCACGGGCUAGUGAAGUACUGAAAAAAGUAUUUGUAAAAAAGUAUUGAAGAAAUUAAUGGGACUGAAACUUGAAAAAUCUCCUGGAUCUAUCAUAGGAUCCCUACAGUUUGGAAACAGGCCUUUCAGCCCAACAAGUCCACAGCAACUCUCAGAGCAUCCCACCCAGACCCACCCC